Molecule: long non-coding RNA, 1868 nt
Organism: Eucalyptus grandis
Lineage: Eukaryota; Viridiplantae; Streptophyta; Magnoliopsida; Myrtales; Myrtaceae
Exons: 4
Source: RefSeq, a predicted model, not a curated record
UGCACCAAUGGCGACGCCGAUCAACGUCGCCCCCCCUCGCGCACGUUAGCACAGCCUCCUUCAUCGCCCCGCCUCCCUUCGCCGGCGCGCGGCGGCGCCGGAAUCGACGCCGAAGAAGGCGCGCGCCGUCGUUCCCGGCGCAACGGCUGGAGACCAGGCGAUCGUUCUCAUUCUCCCCCUGCUCGCUCCCCGGAUCGUCAUCGCCGGUCGUCCGCCCUCGCCGUCUCCCGGCUCCACACGAUUUCGCUCCGAAGUUCGUCGAUCGUGUCUGUCGAGCUCAGUGAUCCGGCAUUACGUGGAAUUUGGCGCUGCGGAUGGCUUAAAGCUUUUUCCAGGUGAUCCGUGGCCGGUUCGGUUUUCACGGUACCGGAGCCGAAUGCGGAAGCCUUUUGGCGGGCCAAGGAGAGUCCUUUACGCGGAGCCAAUGAUUGAUUGCAUUGUCGCUGUCAAGAUAGCCUUUUUGAAGUGUUCGUCGGAUUCACUUUGCGUUCGUUAUGUUGCGGAUGAUGAUUUCCACUUUAGUUUCUUUUUUGGCCUAACCAAAGGAAGGUGGGGGGAAAAGGGGGAUGGGCGGAAGAGUGGAUUUUUUCUUAGGUGGUGAUUGAUGAUACAAUUGAAUUUAGUAGCGUGGGUCGAGACCCUUUCUUCCGGGCUAAGUUUCGACAGGCGGUUUCUUGCACAUGUUACUCGUUCUGCCCUCUUGUUGUAAUGUGAUGUGAGCUGUGUUGUGGGAAUCCAGAGCAUAUCUUUUGUUCGAUGCGAUCGUUUGUGUCGGUGGUGAUUGUACCGUGAAGUUGUCUUCGCACUAGAAAUCGAAGUAAAGUUGCAUUCUUGACGGUCAAUUCCAGUUUCAUUUUCCUUUUGUUGAAUGCAGAUGGCAUUGCAGGCAGCUUCUUUGGAUAAAAAUAUGUGAAGAAUUCGGAUGGUGAACUCUCGAGGGGUUGUUCUUUGUUGCCUUGUUAUUGCGGUGCUAGAGUUUGAUACUGAGCUUUCUUAACACGCAAUGAUUAGAAAAAGGCUUGACCCACUAGGGAGAUCUCAUGUGCCAGCUGUAAUGUUAAAGUCAGCUGCAGAUUAAGGAUUAGCUAAUCUCUCCUUCUCCUUUGCAUUAAGUUUUCCUUUUUUUAUCAGUAGGUGAGAGCAUUCCUAAUUACGCACAUCACCCAUAAUGUACUUUUUCAUGUUAUUCAGCUGCCUAAUGGAACUGGGCUUCUUUCGUCAAAUUAGGUAGAUUGGCCCUCACUUAGCAAUGCCAAUAUUGCAUAGAAAACUCCAGAAGGUGAGAAGCCUGAGUUUGCAACGUGUCGAACACUUUUAUGCUCUGGCCCGGCAGGACCUCUUUGCGUUAACAUAAGAGUCAACUAUAGGUGGCACGAUAUGCUUCAGACAGUGGAAAAGGUAAAGAUGCUCUCAACACUGUUGGUCAAUGUCUCAGAGCAUUGAAAGAACUUGAUUCCUUGCCUCUCCAUGCAUCAAGAAAUGAACCGGAUGGCUUGGUAAAAUCCAUGAUAGCCAAGACAGGUAUUGCAGUUGAUGCAUCAGAUAGUUCUUCCAUUUACGGUGUCCUCCAAAGUGUUCCCCAAGACGUGUUGGACAGAGGCAAGGCUGCAGCAGAUCCAUAUAGGAUUCCAGAAGACACUAAGCCUGAAAUACGAGACCCUGAAAUCAAGCAGCUGGAAUCACCGUGUUUUCCUUUCCUCAGCACGAUGGGAACCUGCCUCUGAUAUGAUCAAAUUCAACUAGACCUCCAAACUCUUACUCGCCGGAUUAUACAGUUUAGGAAAUGGGGAGUUCCUCGGUUUUAUGGUAUUUCGGCGUACCAUUCUAGAUUCAAAUCAUAUCAAGUCGGAUGAGCGGUUCUUAGUUCG